This is a long non-coding RNA of Pseudopipra pipra, 3238 nucleotides long. RefSeq lists it as uncharacterized. The record is from RefSeq and is a predicted model, not a curated record. The transcript is spliced from 2 exons. NCBI's taxonomy places the organism in Eukaryota, Metazoa, Chordata, Aves, Passeriformes, Pipridae.
GGUGGCGCUUUUCUGCAACCUGGACUUCCCUCCACGGCUAGGUCUGCCACUUGCCCUGCUGCCGGCCAGGCUCCUGGAGGCUCCCACGGGAGCCCACGCGGCCCCGGGGAGCGGCAGCGUGCGGAGGCACACCCAGGCUGUCCAGACCCUGAGGCUGAGGCGCUUGGGGGGGUUGUUGUUGCACCUUAUGGCACUUAAUGGUCUCACUCCGUCAGAUAAGUGCUCUGCAGCCUCCCAAAAGUGAAUCCCCGGGCUCACCCCAUUAAUGGACUUACAUUUUUCCCUUGACAAUUCGGCAUUGUUUACUGAGUGUUUGCAGCUGGCAGAGAGCGAAUCAAGUUACACUGCCCAGCCAAACGCUCUCUCUUUUGGUUUUCAUCCCUACAGAGUGGCAAGAAACAGGAACAAGGUGGAGGAGGUGAAAACUGGACUCUAAAAGUGAUUGUCUUUCCCUAGAUGUCUCCAAGUGACACUUGAUCGUCCAGUCUGAGCCACAUUUAUGUUUGAUUUGGAUAAUGAUGGGUUUCAUCCAACACCUCAACUGAUAACCACGUGUCAGUGCAGUUCGGAACAGAAAAGGAUGUGCUGGCCAAAGCACGCUUGGCCUUCGGUGACUUGGAACUGGACAGACAACAUGAAGAAGGGCUAUCAUUUUGCUUGAAAUUAGACAGGCAACCUUCUAAUUCUUAAGAAGUGGAUGUGGUCUCAGCUGGGAAAUGCAAGGGUUGUAUUUUAUUUUAAAAAAUAUUUUAUUUCUAAAUAAAUGCAAGAAAUUUAAAUGCCUUCAUCCAUCAUCCAGUGCCUUCCACUCAACAGCUACAAGUUCUCAGCCAAAAUGCUAUUUGCUGUGGUCAGGAAGAGGCCACAAAUUUUGUGAGGACUAAACAUGGUGCCAUGGUGCCAACCACUCAAAGGCAGCCAGAAUCCCCAGAGAAGGAAAAAUUCUAUUGGGUUUUCUGCAGAUUUCAGAGGGCUGGGCUGGUGACAGGGAAGGGACACCAUGGGGAGACAUAAUCAGACCAUUUCACUGACUCAGCCUCAACUCUUUCCUAUAGAGACUUGUACUCUGCAGCUCAGCCCCAGAUGCCCCACCAUUACACCUAGUUGAUGAUUCAGAGCAGGUCUGAUUGUUUUUUUUUCCUGCGGGGGCCCUGAGAGGACACAUCUCUGGGACAGGCAUACACAAGCCUGCAAGGAUACAGUAGCAUUUCCCUGCAUAUGGGCUCUGACCAGCAACAUGGUCUUCUAUCUCCCCAGCUUAUUGCCCAUCUACUAUAAAACAACUGUUACAGUGCAAAGGCUGGCUAUACAGAUUACUGCUUUAAGGUUAGACUUCAAGUUUACAGACACAGCAGUCACUGAAAGCCCAAAACCCUGAAGCUAGGUGUUCUCCUGGCACAGACUUGUUCACUCUUAUGGGCUGUGCUGCCCUGCUGCACUAGUAAUGGAGUAUCACUUAAAUUUCCUUUUUCAGAGCUAUGGAAUAGAAAAACCGUUUAAAUCAAAUACACCUUGUUGGAAAACAUACAUUCUGAGAGGUUGAAUUCUGGAUGAUGCAAACUUGCUCAGCACACCCAUGGCAAUCAGAGCAGUUUGGAAAAUGUCAUCUUCUGAAAAAUCAGAAGCCAGGGAACACCAGGCUUUGUCUUCAGCAGAGAAAGAAUGUCCAUGCAGGAGAGUAUCUCUGCUCUUCAGUCUCCCCUGCUGUAAAAAGUCCUGCCCACAGGGAAGGAAAGAGAAUUGCCUCCAGAGUAGGGCUGCUGCUUUACUCGAGUCUUCUGUUUGCAGAAUGCAACUGGUUUUGUUACACCUAAGACUGUUUUAAAUGCUAGAAGAGCUGUCUCUGUUCACACCAACAUAUAAUCUUUACAUUUACCCAGCUGGAUUCUGUUACCAAGUUUCUUGUUCAUUACCUGUUUGUUUUUGCAGGAUUCUUCAAGGGUGACAAAAGCAGAAAUCAGCGGCUAAAUACAGGCAAAACAUCUCUUGUUGAUGUCCUGGCUUUUGAGGGAGGGCUUUUUCUACACCCCCGAAUUUCACAGUGUUCAGACUUAAAUAGCUAAGUUCCAGUGAUACAGAGUAGAACAACUGCAGUUGUUUUUUUACAAAGAGUCUAAUGGGAGAGAGGAAGGACUCUGUGGAAGUCAGAAAGAGGAAGAAGAAAAGUGGGUUAAAAAGAGUGUGAAGAACAUGAUGCUGUCAAAGGCAAUUUGAGAAUGGCUGAGAGAUUUAGGGAUGUAUGCAUGAGCAGUGGAGUGAUGGCACUAGACAGGGAAGCUGCUGGGGCAAAAACCUCUGUGAGGAAAAUGGUCCAAAUGAUUCCUUGUGUCACCAUGUUUCUGGAAGUGUGGACCACUGCAAAGCCUGAGAUAGCCACUGUGAAACCAAGACAUGAUAUAGGAAAAAGCCUGGCCAAAAAGCCCUAGGUGGUUUCAGACACUUACCAGCAAUGCCUUAGGGAAGCUGCUUGAGCAGUAUGUGUGUUGAAGGCAAUGGCAGCCCUGAGCCACAGACACUGCUUUGAGAUUGGAACAUGUUGCCUUUCCUCUCUGGAGCAAGACUCCACCCUCUGCACUUGUCACAAUAACUAACAAACGGGAGAUCGAACAUAUCCCUCCCCAGCCCCCAGACCUGGAAGGUCGGGUUCAAACAUAGCCUUGCCUCUCUGCUGCCACAACACUACCAGCGGGGGAAAAGCCGGUUCUCCGUGGUACGUGGGGAUGUACAUCCAUGGUGUGGAGACAGCUAGGGUAUGGGUGGGCAUCCUGAAGAGAGGUUAUCAUCACAGACUUCUAUCGCAUUACAAACAAGACGCCUCUGCCAGAGUCAUGGAGAAGAAAGUGAAUUUAUUUACAAGAAGAUUCCCCCUCACGCAUGCUCCUCCUCCUCCCCCACUGGAAACCAAGUCUGCAGACCCCGUCUUUCUGUUCAAUAUUAAAAUAAUUCAGGGCAAUGUGCCUCAGUAACACUGUGUUUGUGGUUAGGGUUCCUCUGAAACCCCCUUCUUCCUCAGAUCUGGGGAAGGGCUAUCUAUAAACAGCCUUUUCUUUCUUAGCAGAUUUAAUGAAGGACUAACAGUGUAAGUCAGAGCAGACACUGAAGAACAGCCUACAGAGCAUGAAGCAAAAGGGAAAAGAACACUGGGUUACCCUGCAGAAAUAGUGGUGCCUUGAUGUUUCGCAGACAGAAGCAGGUGAUGCAAAAUAUAUUGUGUUUUCAAGAACACACAAAAAACCUA